UCCAUUAACAGCAUCAAUGAUCAGCAGAUGGAGAAUACAUGAAUUGUCAGGCCUUGCCUCCAGUAUAAGAGAUGUCUGAACGAGUAAAUGAGAGGUAUUGGAGAGAACUAGUUGUGUUGCGAUACAAGGUUGGAUCAGAAAAUGGUGCACCCGUAAAUGAUGAUAAUUUGACGGUGGAGGCCAUGGAUGAUGAGACUGAUUUGGCAGCAAGCAUGUUGGUUUUGUGAAGAAGGUCAGUAAUUUAACGGUGCUGAUAUAGAAUGAUGUCAUGAGAGGAGGGAGACGCCCCAAUGCCCAAUAAGAAACUUAACUACCAAGGUCCUUGGAAGCAAAUCCUGUAUGAAGCUGGUGGAUAAGAUUGUGAAUAUCCUCAUUAUGUAGGCCAGUGACUAGAAUAUCAUCCAUAUAGAUCCAGACAAAAGAGAAUUAUGUAAGCGAUUUUAAGAAUGAGAAGAAGGGAAUCAUUCUUUGAGCCGAUAAAGUUAAAGGGAGAGAAUUAGUCUGGGGCUUGAUCCAACAAACCAUGCACAUGGAGCUUGUUUGAUGCCUUGCGUAAGAGAAAAAUAUGAUCAGGAAAUGGAUGGUGAGAGAAACCAGGUGGUCGAUUCAUGUAAGUAGGAGAUUUUAGGAAGAGUAGUCGUAGAAAGAAAUGAGAAGGAAAACUACAGUUACACCAGAUGAACUAAAGACUUGGUGCUGGAGUUAGUGCUUAAUUGCGUAUUAAUACACAAGACUCUUUUAACAUUUUCACUUGUUUCCGGCACCCCUGGAGGCAAUGAGUUUCGUUUUGGCUUGCUCUUCAAGAGGAGAGGGUCAAGGACUUCAUGACCAUCUUCAUUGUGAGGACAUAAUCCAUUGUUAAACUCUGUUUACUGAACACCGACGGGAUUUACCGUCGGUAAAACUGUUAAAUUUGAUAGCAAUUUCUCGGC
Populus nigra (black poplar) is the source of this 932-nucleotide long non-coding RNA. RefSeq lists it as uncharacterized. The transcript is spliced from 2 exons. Lineage: Eukaryota; Viridiplantae; Streptophyta; Magnoliopsida; Malpighiales; Salicaceae. The record is from RefSeq and is a predicted model, not a curated record.